RNAcentral lists this ribosomal RNA (253 nucleotides) under uncultured bacterium. RNAcentral describes it as "partial 16S ribosomal RNA". It matches the Rfam family "Bacterial small subunit ribosomal RNA", at positions 524 to 776 of the family's 1533-position model. The record is from RNAcentral.
GACAGAGGGUGCAAGCGUUGCUCGGAAUUACUGGGCGUAAAGCGCGUGUAGGUGGAUUGGUGUGUCAGAUGUGAAAGCCCUGGGCUCAACCCAGGAACAGCACCUGAAACUACCAGUCUUGAGUGGUGGAGAGGGAAGUGGAAUUCCUGGUGUAGAGGUGAAAUUCGUAGAGAUCAGGAGGAACACCAGUGGCGAAGGCGGCUUCCUGGACACUAACUGACGCUGAGACGCGAAAGCGUGGGGAGCAAACAGG